This 494-nucleotide ribosomal RNA is filed under the name uncultured bacterium. RNAcentral describes it as "partial 16S ribosomal RNA". It matches the Rfam family "Bacterial small subunit ribosomal RNA", at positions 28 to 507 of the family's 1533-position model. The record is from RNAcentral.
GACGAACGCUGGCGGCGCGCUUAACACAUGCAAGUCGAACGGAAAGGCCUGCUUUCCCUUGUGGAUUGCGGGUACUCGAGUGGCGAACGGGUGAGUAACACGUGAGUGAUCUGCCCCCAACUUGGGUAUAAGCCUGGGAAACUGGGUCUAAUUCCCGAUAGGACUGCAGGGUGGUGCCUGUGGUGGAAAACGAUUUUCUAGUGGUUGGGGAUGAGCUCGCGGCCUAUCAGCUUGUUGGUGGGGUAAUGGCCUACCAAGGCGGCGACGGGUAGCCGGCCUGGGAGGGUGGACGGCCACAUUGGGACUGAGAUACGGCCCAGACUCCUACGGGAGGCAGCAGUGGGGAAUAUUGCACAAUGGGCGGAAGCCUGAUGCAGCGACGCCGCGUGGGGGAUGACGGCCUUCGGGUUGUAAACUCCUUUCGACCGCGAGGAAGCCACCCGGUUGGAAGGGUGGUGACGGUAGUGGUAGAAGAAGCACCGGCUAACUACGUG